GACGAACGCUGGCGGCGUGCCUAAUACAUGCAAGUCGAACGCUUCUUUCCUCCCGAGUGCUUGCACUCAAUUGGAAAGAGGAGUGGCGGACGGGUGAGUAACCCGUGGGUAACCUACCCAUCAGAGGGGGAUAACACUUGGAAACAGGUGCUAAUACCGCAUAACAGUUUAUGCCACAUGGCAUAAGAGUGAAAGGGGCUUUCGGAUGUCGCUGAUGGAUGGACCCGCGGUGCAUUAGCUAGUUGGUGAGGUAACGGCUCACCAAGGCCACGAUGCAUAGCCGACCUGAGAGGGUGAUCGGCCACACUGGGACUGAGACACGGCCCAGACUCCUACGGGAGGCAGCAGUAGGGAAUCUUCGGCAAUGGACGAAAGUCUGACCGAGCAACGCCGCGUGAGUGAAGAAGGUUUUCGGAUCGUAAAACUCUGUUGUUAGAGAAGAACAAGGACGUUAGUAACUGAACGUCCCUUGACGGUAUCUAACCAGAAAGCCACGGCUAACUACGUG
Molecule: ribosomal RNA, 508 nt
Filed under: uncultured bacterium
Lineage: Bacteria
Description: partial 16S ribosomal RNA
Rfam family: Bacterial small subunit ribosomal RNA
Source: RNAcentral